RNAcentral lists this ribosomal RNA (488 nucleotides) under Prosotas dubiosa. RNAcentral describes it as "partial 16S ribosomal RNA". Lineage: Eukaryota; Metazoa; Arthropoda; Insecta; Lepidoptera; Lycaenidae. The record is from RNAcentral.
AAAACAUGUCUUUUUGAAUUUAAUUUAAAGUCUAAUCUGCCCACUGAUUUAAAAAUUAAAGGGCUGCAGUAAUUUGACUGUACAAAGGUAGCAUAAUCAUUAGUCUUUUAAUUGAAGACUUGUAUGAAGGAUUUGAUGAGAUAUAAACUGUCUCUAAUUUAAUAAUAGAAUUUAAUUUUUUAGUUAAAAAGCUAAAAUAAUUUUAAAAGACGAGAAGACCCUAUAGAGUUUAAUAGUUGAAAAUUAAUAUAUUUAUAUAAAAUUUAAUUAUAAUAUUUUAAAAAUUAUUUUAUUGGGGUGAUAAAAAAAUUAAAAAAACUUUUUUUUUAAUAAACAUUAAUAAUUGAUUAAUUGAUCCAGAAUUAUGAUUAAAAGAAAAAAUUACCUUAGGGAUAACAGCGUAAUAUUUUUUUUUAGUACAUAUAAGAAAAAAAGUUUGCGACCUCGAUGUUGGAUUAAGAUAAAAUUUAAAUGCAAAAGUUAAAAUU